GGGGAUGUGGCUCAGUGGUAGCGUGCUCGCCUGGCAUGCGUGCGGCCUGGGUUCGAUCCCCAGCACCA
Molecule: transfer RNA, 68 nt
Filed under: Ictidomys tridecemlineatus (thirteen-lined ground squirrel)
Lineage: Eukaryota; Metazoa; Chordata; Mammalia; Rodentia; Sciuridae
Description: Spermophilus tridecemlineatus (thirteen-lined ground squirrel) tRNA
Rfam family: tRNA
About the family: Transfer RNA (tRNA) molecules are approximately 80 nucleotides in length.
Source: Rfam by way of RNAcentral